UCGGGAAUUUUGGGCAAUGGGCGAAAGCCUGACCCAGCAACGCCGCGUGAGGGAUGAAGUAUUUCGGUAUGUAAACCUCGAAAGAAAGGGAAGAAUAAAUGACGGUACCAUUUAUAAGCUCCGGCUAACUACGUGCCAGCAGCCGCGGUAAUACGUAGGGAGCAAGCGUUGUUCGGAUUUACUGGGCGUAAAGGGCGCGUAGGCGGCGCGGUAAGUCACUUGUGAAAUCUCUGAGCUUAACUCAGAACGGCCAAGUGAUACUGCUGUGCUAGAGUGCGGAAGAGGCAACCGGAAUUCUUGGUGUAGCGGUGAAAUGCGUAGAUAUCAAGAGGAACACCUGAGGCGAAGGCGGGUUGCUGGGCCGACCCUGACGCUGAUGCGCGAAAGCCAGGGGAGCAAACG
RNAcentral lists this ribosomal RNA (402 nucleotides) under uncultured bacterium. RNAcentral's name for it is "bacterial SSU rRNA". It matches the Rfam family "Bacterial small subunit ribosomal RNA", at positions 355 to 774 of the family's 1533-position model. The record is from RNAcentral.